Molecule: ribosomal RNA, 244 nt
Filed under: uncultured bacterium
Lineage: Bacteria
Description: partial 16S ribosomal RNA
Rfam family: Bacterial small subunit ribosomal RNA
Source: RNAcentral
CAUGCCGUAAACGAUGAGUGCUAAGUGUUAGGGGGUUUCCGCCCCUUAGUGCUGCAGCUAACGCAUUAAGCACCCCGCCUGGGGAGUACGGCCGCAAGGCUAAAACUCAAAGGAAUUGACGGGGGCCCGCACAAGCGGCGGAGCAUGCGGAUUAAUUCGAUGCAACGCGAAGAACCUUACCAAGGCUUGACAUAUAGAGGAAACGGCCAGAGAUGGUCGCCCCGCAAGGUCUCUAUACAGGUGG